Molecule: ribosomal RNA, 467 nt
Filed under: uncultured bacterium
Lineage: Bacteria
Description: partial 16S ribosomal RNA
Rfam family: Bacterial small subunit ribosomal RNA
Source: RNAcentral
GACGAACGCCGUCGGCGUGCUUAACACAUUCAAGUCGAACGGAAAGGCCCUGCUUUUGUGGGGUGCUCGAGUGGCGAACGAGUUAGUAACACGUUAGUAACCUGCCCUUGACUUUGGGAUAACUUCAGGAAACUGGGGCUAAUACCGGAUAUGAGCUCCGGCUGCAUUUUGGGGGUUGGUAAGUUUCGGCGGUUGGGGAUGGACUCGCGGCUUAUCAGCUUGUAGGUGGGGUAUUGGCUUACCAAGGCUUUGACGGGUAGCCGGCCUGAGAGGGUGACCGACAACCUUGGGACUGAGAUACGCCACAGACACUCAAGGGAGGACGCAGUGGGGAGUAUUGCACAAUGGGCGGAAGCCUGAUGCAGCAACGCAGCGUGCGGGCUGACGGCCUUAGGGUUGUAACCCGCUUUCGCCUGUGACGAAGCGUGAGUGACGGUAAUGGGUACAGGAGCACAGGCGACCUACGU